RNAcentral lists this long non-coding RNA (3840 nucleotides) under Gallus gallus (chicken). Its description in RNAcentral is "lncRNA (ENSGALG00010018785.1)". The record is from RNAcentral. Lineage: Eukaryota; Metazoa; Chordata; Aves; Galliformes; Phasianidae.
CAGAGAAACACACAGUGCAGGCUGAACUCUCACAACACUGGGGCUAAGAGUGCAGAAGCAGAAGAUAGAAGCCCAAAAAGACUGAAGAAAAAGAACAUCAGAAGCAAUGGGAAUAUGGGUGGACAAGUCAGAGAGAAGGAGCACUGCUGUACCCGGUACGAGCAGGAAGGGAAUGUUAUGUUUUGUGCUAUUACAGUGCAUCCCAACAUGAUAACCAUCAUACCACGUCAGACCAAAGGUCAUUCCAGCUCAGAACCCAGUGUCUUACUGCAGCCCAGGAGAAAACAAAAGUAUGGGGAAAGCUCAUUUGCCUCAUCAGAUCAUUCCUCACUUCCCAAAGCCUGCAACGUGAGGACUUUCUGAAGGUUAUAUAUGAAGUGUCACCCUCAAAAGUACCCUGUACAAGGGUCUAUGCUCUUUGCAUAGAGAGCAUCUACUUCAUUUGAUGCUCACAACAGAGCAAAUGAUUCCUUGCUGUGCACUUCCUUCAUUCUGCUCCACAGCUUCCUCACUACCACAGUCGGUUUACAAGGGAGUGCCAGAAGAGCUCUGAUAACAGGUAGUCCUAUGACAGAGUUGCCAUAACAAUUUUAUGAUGAAGACUUACGACAGAGUACCUCAUGACAAACUCAUGUUGACAACCUUCCUCGUGGCCAUUUGUCACCCUCUAGAGGUGGCUGACAAAAGAACUGAUCAAGAAGAACUGACAAAGCCCACCAGCUGCUGUCCGCAGCCCAGCAGGAUGCCCCCAGCUCCCAGCAUAGGACCAGAGGGCCAGUUUCAGUCUCCUGGUCGCACCAUCUGCAUCAUCACAGGGCAUCAUAUUUUUCACAUACAUCACACACCAAAUACUUGAGCAACUUGAAACAUGCUGUUCCUGAAACGUCCAUGAAACAAAUUCUCUCUCUACAGCUAUACAUUUAUUUAGGGGUUAUCCAUAAAUGAAUGCAACAGUGCAAACCUGACCUUUUACCCCCUAACCAACUGAGCUCCAAUGGCUAUCAUAAAACCAUUUGGUUGUUGCCUGCUAAUCUGUGAUGAUAGAUUUAAUCUCUGUAAAAAAAAUACUGGGAAUGGGAGAAAGGUAGCCAAAUUACAAUUUUCUUUUAAUUAUUUAUUUUUACUUUAUUUUAUUAUUUAUUUAUUUUGCUAUGUACCAAUCUACCAGAGCACUGCAAACAGAGGGAGUGCUGAAAAUUUAUCUAUGUGGCUCAUCUUACACAGACCACUAAAAAUAGACCAAACUCUCCAGGAGAAGGAAACAAAAUCCUCUUUUAUCCAUUUCUUACUUGCACUGCUGUGGUUUCUGAAAGCAUGCUCCUUAUGCACAGAAGGAAAAGACGUGCGCUGGCCCCACUGCUGAGCUAAAGGCUGUGACACUGCUCAGUGCAGCACAGUUCUCCUGCCUACUGCAAGGCCACCUCAGUUUGCACCAAUCAGAUGUUUUUCUCCUAUUUCUUGCACGUAAUCUAAAGGAAGAACUUAUACAAAACCAAAGACGUCCAUGUUCCUUGCUGUCUCUUAGUCCUAAUGCAAGAAAUCGCACUGCCUCAAAGCAAAUCUCUAGUUGAAGUGGACAGACUCAGCAGAGCCUGAACCUUCUGUCCCCACAGGCCAGUUCUGGUGCUGGUCAGAGGCCAAGCCAUCCCGUCUCCUUCUCUUUCCUGGUAUUUCAUCACAACCUUUCCUCUACUAGAAGACAGCCACGCAAACGGUGCUUGGAGCCGAGUAGAACUGUGUAACACCAGCUACCUCACACACCUCUCUCUGCCUGUUUACACAAGAUAGGAGCCUGGUCCUACGGUUUCAAAAAAAAAAAGCAGUCUGCAUCUGCUCCAUUUUCAUCAUUCUGACAAGCCAGGUCAGAACACCACUGCAAACCAGGCUCACACCUUCUCUGAAAUUGCUGCAGCAGAAAUAAUGAAACACAGUUCCAGACCUCGCUUUCUCUGGAUCACCCCUCGAUAGCAGCUUCUGAAAUUCAACAGCACUACAGCUGCUUCCACCAACAAAGGUGGUGGCACAUUUCUCUUGCUUGCAGGGGCAGCAAAGGAAAAAUGCAUUACCAGUGAGGCUUGCACCUCUACUCCCCUCUACUCACCGCAUCCAAAAACACAGAACAAAAAGAAACUCUUAAACCUUCAUAUCUGAGGUCUGAAGACAAAUAUUGAGAAGGCACCAAGCAUUUUUUCUAAUUUACAACUCGGAGGAUAAUCUCUGAAUACUCUGUUUUAUAGUGUGCUUCCACCUUCUCUGGCCCAUUUCAGAUCGAAUGCCCUUCUGAUGUGACAGAUAUGUCUCUUCCUUCUGAUGGGGUGUUUUGAAGCACUGAAGUGUGUGUUUUCUCUUCAGCUCUACAGGAACAAGCUGAGCAGUUCAAUAUUUCAGUUGCAUAUACUCUGCAUUGUUAAUUUCAGGCUUGCUUUUGAAAUCCAGAAACAAAGAACAUAACUGAGAGCCUUGCAAGGACACACCCCAUCCAGUCUGUGUGCUCCAGAGCCCAUUUUGACAUGCACAGACCUUUCAGAGAUCAUUCUGACAACAGCUUCAUCUCCACUGCUAACAGUGGACUGGGCUGUGCUGAGUUGAAUUAUUAUGCUGUCUAAUGUUUCCUUUACACCAAGCAUACCAAACAUUUUUUGACAUUGUGUAUUUCUCUCAUACAGACAAUGCUUUGCAUCUCCUGAAUUUUGUCAAGCCUCUGGGUCUGCUUUCAGCAGGGAAACUGCAUGUAGGUUCAUCCCUGCCCACACAGUCCUUCUGUUCACCAAGGCCAUGUGGCUGCCAGGGAAUAUCUACCUGCUUCCAACAAAGGUCUUUUAGCAGAGGUAAAAUGUUGGUAUGCCUUUUAUAUUUGCACUAAUCAAAAUGCCACAAUAAGAAUCUCAAUUAGUAACACGAUGAAAAAGUAAUGAAGAGAAGAUCCAGUAGAUACAGAAGAUACACCUACUGCUGCCAGCUGCAGGAUACGCGCUCUCUAAUGAACCGUCGUUCGAGAUUUGCUUGGGAUGAUUAAUAAGACAUAAUGACAGAUGAUGAAUAUCUUAAGAGCAACUGCAUUCCUCCUACUUACUCUGCCAGUCUAACAGAGCUGACCUUUUCAUAAUGCCUAGUAAUUUUCAUAUUACAUCCUGAAAACAUAGCUAAAAUGAGCAUGCUGAAUUGCAAUAUGGGACCACAAGGGACACACCAAGCCAAAGAAAGGUGUUAGCAAAACAUGACAAAUUACUUAUCUGCAACUUCACAGAGCAAGGUUCAAGUCCAAUUUAAGAUUUUGAGUGAUAUAUGUUCGAUGGAUGCAGCUUAGUCACAUCAGACAGACCGGCCUGUAAUCCACUUUAUAACUGUCACACAUUAGUUUAUAAUGCUUAGGAGAGGAUUGGCAAGACAAGAAUGACACGGUAACAGAAUUACCUCUGCAACCUGCCUUACAUGCUCAGUUUAUUGAACUCAGAUCAGAAGCAGUGAGUCAGUGUACAGCACCUCGUCACAACACGGCCCCUUCAGAAACCACGUCUCACACAAUUGCACUAAAAACUUUUCUUUCCUCUUUUUUGCAUCCUGCUGGCAUUUAGAAAAGGUUGAGAAUAAACAUGGCUUGGGGAUGGAAAACUGUAUGAUUCACUCUCAGCUUGAUGGAAAAAGAAUGAGGGAGGGCAUACAUUUCACAACCCAAAAUGUUCACUUCAAAUAAAAAAAUUCAGAACUUAUUGUUUGACAAAUAUUGAAAUGAAACAUCUAUGACAUUCUGUCUUUUUGUGACAGGUUGCUUCAUGCUUUUCUUUCUUACCUGAAAUAUUAGCUGAGCCUUAUAUUAAUUUGCAAGAUAUAUCAGUUAGG